UUUUAACCAUGGCAAACCCGGGGAAACCCGGUGACGCAAAGCUAUAGGGACUGUAAAAUGUCAGCCAGCUGCAAUC
Molecule: non-coding RNA, 76 nt
Filed under: Oribacterium parvum ACB1
Lineage: Bacteria; Bacillati; Bacillota; Clostridia; Lachnospirales; Lachnospiraceae
Also listed under: 1 other name
Description: Oribacterium sp. ACB1 c-di-GMP-I riboswitch aptamer
Rfam family: c-di-GMP-I riboswitch aptamer
About the family: GEMM was predicted in a large-scale screen for bacterial structured RNA regulatory elements.
Source: Rfam by way of RNAcentral